GAUGAACGCUGGCGGCGUGCCUAAUACAUGCAAGUCGAGCGAACGGACGAGAAGCUUGCUUCUCUGAUGUUAGCGGCGGACGGGUGAGUAACACGUGGAUAACCUACCUAUAAGACUGGGAUAACUUCGGGAAACCGGAGCUAAUACCGGAUAAUAUUUUGAACCGCAUGGUUCAAAAGUGAAAGACGGUCUUGCUGUCACUUAUAGAUGGAUCCGCGCUGCAUUAGCUAGUUGGUAAGGUAACGGCUUACCAAGGCAACGAUGCAUAGCCGACCUGGGAGGUGGAUCGGCCACACUGGAACUGAGACACGGUCCAGACUCCUACGGGAGGCAGCAGUAGGGAAUCUUCCGCAAUGGGCGAAAGCCUGACGGAGCAACGCCGCGUGAGUGAUGAAGGUCUUCGGAUCGUAAAACUCUGUUAUUAGGGAAGAACAUAUGUGUAAGUAACUGUGCACAUCUUGACGGUACCUAAUCAGAAAGCAACGGCUAACUACGUG
Molecule: ribosomal RNA, 497 nt
Filed under: uncultured bacterium
Lineage: Bacteria
Description: partial 16S ribosomal RNA
Rfam family: Bacterial small subunit ribosomal RNA
Source: RNAcentral